AUUGAACGCUGGCGGCAGGCCUAACACAUGCAAGUCGAACGGUAACAGGAAACAGCUUGCUGUUUCGCUGACGAGUGGCGGACGGGUGAGUAAUGUCUGGGAAACUGCCUGAUGGAGGGGGAUAACUACUGGAAACGGUAGCUAAUACCGCAUAACGUCGCAAGACCAAAGAGGGGGACCCUCGGGCCUCUUGCCAUCGGAUGUGCCCAGAUGGGAUUAGCUUGUUGGUGGGGUAACGGCUCACCAAGGCGACGAUCCCUAGCUGGUCUGAGAGGAUGACCAGCCACACUGGAACUGAGACACGGUCCAGACUCCUACGGGAGGCAGCAGUGGGGAAUAUUGCACAAUGGGCGCAAGCCUGAUGCAGCCAUGCCGCGUGUAUGAAGAAGGCCUUCGGGUUGUAAAGUACUUUCAGCGGGGAGGAAGGGAGUAAAGUUAAUACCUUUGCUCAUUGACGUUACCCGCAGAAGAAGCACCGGCUAACUCCGUGCCAGCAGCCGCGGUAAUACGGAGGGUGCAAGCGUUAAUCGGAAUUACUGGGCGUAAAGCGCACGCAGGCGGUUUGUUAAGUCAGAUGUGAAAUCCCCGGGCUCAACCUGGGAACUGCAUCUGAUACUGGCAAGCUUGAGUCUCGUAGAGGGGGGUAGAAUUCCAGGUGUAGCGGUGAAAUGCGUAGAGAUCUGGAGGAAUACCGGUGGCGAAGGCGGCCCCCUGGACGAAGACUGACGCUCAGGUGCGAAAGCGUGGGGAGCAAACAGGAUUAGAUACCCUGGUAGUCCACGCCGUAAACGAUGUCGACUUGGAGGUUGUGCCCUUGAGGCGUGGCUUCCGGAGCUAACGCGUUAAGUCGACCGCCUGGGGAGUACGGCCGCAAGGUUAAAACUCAAAUGAAUUGACGGGGGCCCGCACAAGCGGUGGAGCAUGUGGUUUAAUUCGAUGCAACGCGAAGAACCUUACCUGGUCUUGACAUCCACGGAAGUUUUCAGAGAUGAGAAUGUGCCUUCGGGAACCGUGAGACAGGUGCUGCAUGGCUGUCGUCAGCUCGUGUUGUGAAAUGUUGGGUUAAGUCCCGCAACGAGCGCAACCCUUAUCCUUUGUUGCCAGCGGUCCGGCCGGGAACUCAAAGGAGACUGCCAGUGAUAAACUGGAGGAAGGUGGGGAUGACGUCAAGUCAUCAUGACCCUUACGACCAGGGCUACACACGUGCUACAAUGGCGCAUACAAAGAGAAGCGACCUCGCGAGAGCAAGCGGACCUCAUAAAGUGCGUCGUAGUCCGGAUUGGAGUCUGCAACUCGACUCCAUGAAGUCGGAAUCGCUAGUAAUCGUGGAUCAGAAUGCCACGGUGAAUACGUUCCCGGGCCU
This 1363-nucleotide ribosomal RNA is filed under the name uncultured bacterium. RNAcentral's name for it is "bacterial SSU rRNA". It matches the Rfam family "Bacterial small subunit ribosomal RNA", at positions 28 to 1381 of the family's 1533-position model. The record is from RNAcentral.